UGAAAUGGCGUCGCUAGGCGUUGUGGAGUCGUUGUUGAAAUACCACCCUUUGCUUAUCUGAAGCCUAACCUCUUACGAGGAACAGUGCGUGGUGGGUAGUUUGACUGGGGUGGUCGCCUCCAAAAGAGUAUCGGAGGCUUCUAAAGGUACCCUCAGAACGGUUGGUAAUCGUUCGUAGAGUAUAAUGGCAUAAGGGUGCUUGACUGAGAGACAUACAAGUCGACCAGGUACGAAAGUAGAGCAUAGUGAUCCGGCGGUUCCGCAUGGAAGGGCCGUCGCUCAAAGGAUAAAAGGUACUCCGGGAUAACAGGCUGAUCUCCCCCAAGAG
This 328-nucleotide ribosomal RNA is filed under the name Ochromonas sp. CCMP1393. RNAcentral describes it as "partial Bacterial large subunit ribosomal RNA". It matches the Rfam family "Bacterial large subunit ribosomal RNA", at positions 2158 to 2498 of the family's 2925-position model. Lineage: Eukaryota; Chrysophyceae; Chromulinales; Chromulinaceae. The record is from RNAcentral.